CAGCAGCCACGGUAAUACGGAGGGGGCUAGCGUUGUUCGGAAUUACUGGGCGUAAAGCGCACGUAGGCGGCUUGGUAAGUUAGAGGUGAAAGCCCAGGGCUCAACCCUUGAAUUGCCUUUAAGACUGCCGAGCUAGUAGGUGAGAGAGGUAAGUGGAAUUCCGAGUGUAGAGGUGAAAUUCGUAGAUAUUCGGAAGAACACCAGUGGCGAAGGCGGCUCACUGGCUCAUUCUAGACGCUGAGGUGCGAAAGCGUGGGGAGCAAACAGGAUUAGAGACCCGAGUAGUCCCUGUCUCUUAUAC
RNAcentral lists this ribosomal RNA (301 nucleotides) under uncultured bacterium. RNAcentral describes it as "partial 16S ribosomal RNA". It matches the Rfam family "Bacterial small subunit ribosomal RNA", at positions 509 to 807 of the family's 1533-position model. The record is from RNAcentral.